CCCUCUCUGCCUCUCAUUUCGAUUCAAACCCAGAAAUCUCCGCCUCUCCGCCCUCUCGACCUCUCUCUGCCUCUCGAUUCGAAUCAAACCCAGAAAAUCUCCGCUUUAUUUGAGCACUGCUCAUCAUUGAUGGCAAGAAACUGAUGAUGAACUGAUGAUGUAUAAGCACAGCAACUCAGCAAGGCAGCAAGCAAAUAUGAAGUGAUGAACUGAUGAUGAGAUCACUUUGAGUCCUUGAACACUUUGUUUUAUCCUAUUGCACCUAGUUAUUGUAUUUUGUAUCAUUUGAAAUUUUGAUUCAUUUGUGUGAAGUGUGAACUGUGAACUAUGAAUUAUUGACUUAAUAUUUGUAUGAA
Long non-coding RNA from Rosa chinensis, 356 nucleotides. RefSeq lists it as uncharacterized. NCBI's taxonomy places the organism in Eukaryota, Viridiplantae, Streptophyta, Magnoliopsida, Rosales, Rosaceae. The transcript has 3 exons. The record is from RefSeq and is a predicted model, not a curated record.